RNAcentral lists this ribosomal RNA (471 nucleotides) under uncultured bacterium. RNAcentral's name for it is "partial 16S ribosomal RNA". It matches the Rfam family "Bacterial small subunit ribosomal RNA", at positions 28 to 507 of the family's 1533-position model. The record is from RNAcentral.
GACGAACGCUGGCGGCGUGCCUAACACAUGCAAGUCGAACGAUGAAGUGGUGCUUGCACCGGGGAGUAGUGGCGAACGGGUGAGUAAUACGCGUGUGACCUACCUUUCUCUCUGGGAUAAGUGUGGAAAACUGGGUCUAAUACCGGACACGACCAAUCUCUGCAUGGGGUGUUGGUGGGUAGCGUUAUGUAGUGGUUUGAGUUAGGCUCACGGCCGGUCAGCUUGCUGGUGAGGUAAUGGCUUACCAAGGCCACGACGGGUAGCCGGCCUGAGCGGAGGACAGGCCACACCGGGAUGGAGCCACGACCCAGACUCGUCCGCGACGCAGCGGAGGGGAAUAGUGUACAAUGGGCGGAAGCAUAGUGCAGCGCCGCCGCGUGGGGGAUGACAGCCAUCGGGUUGUAAACCUAUGUUAGCAUAGAAGAAGCGAAAAUGACGGUAGGGGGAGAGAAAGCGCCGGCUAACUACGUG